AUACCUUUCUCGGCCUUUUGGCUAAGAUCAAGUGUAGUAUCUGUUCUUAUCAGUUUAAUAUCUGAUACGUGAGUCAUUGACUCACAUGAUAUUAAAUUUAUUUUUUCAGGGAGAGGAUCCUUCAUAGUAGCUUGCUACUGGGAUUCUCAUGUGUUGCCCAUGCCUUACACUACAGGAGGGGCUUGGCACAUCCCAC
Cajanus cajan (pigeon pea) is the source of this 196-nucleotide non-coding RNA. The record is from Rfam. Lineage: Eukaryota; Viridiplantae; Streptophyta; Magnoliopsida; Fabales; Fabaceae.